AGUAACGGCGAGUGAACAGGGAAAAGCCCAAAUUUGUAAUCUGGCACUUUUUACAAGUGUCCGAGUUGUAAUUUGUAGAGCUGUUAUCCGUACUGGACCAUGUACAAGUCUGUUGAAAAGCAGCAUCAUUGAAGGUGAAAAUCCUGUAGAUGAUAUGGACUACCAGUAUAUUUGUGAUACGGUUUCUAAGAGUCGAGUUGUUUGGGAAUGCAGCUCAAAGUGGGUGGUAAAUUCCAUCUAAGGCUAAAUAUAAGUGAGAGACCGAUAGCAAACAAGUACCGUGAGGGAAAGAUGAAAAGAACUUUGAAAAUAGAGUUAACAGUACGUGAAAUUGCUGAAAGGGAAACGUUUGAAGUUAGUUUUGUAUUCGUUGGAUCAGCUUCGCAAGGAGUGUAUUCUGAUGAUAAGCAAGUCAACAUCAGUCUAUGAGUGUUGGAUAAGGGUUUUGAGAAUGUAGCAAUUUAAUUGUGUUAUAGCUUGAGACUUGGAUACAAUGCUUUGGAUUGAGGAACGCGUAGUAAGCUUUGAGCGGAUUCGAAAGGAUCUCCUUACUAUGGAUGUUGGUGAAAUAACUUUAAGCGACCCGUCUU
RNAcentral lists this ribosomal RNA (590 nucleotides) under Melampsora caprearum. RNAcentral's name for it is "eukaryotic LSU rRNA". It matches the Rfam family "Eukaryotic large subunit ribosomal RNA", at positions 82 to 655 of the family's 3401-position model. Lineage: Eukaryota; Fungi; Basidiomycota; Pucciniomycetes; Pucciniales; Melampsoraceae. RNAcentral also lists the same sequence under 32 other names. The record is from RNAcentral.